UAACUUCGUCUGUAACUUGUCGGUGAUGUGUUCUAUUCCGUGUACAUGUUGGAUAACCUUGAGAUUUUUCAUCAACUUACAGUCUGAUCUGAUGAAACGUGAAGGUCGUGCAGCCGACAGUCAACUAUUUUGUUCAAAUUCAUUCUAUUCUACUGAAUGUGCCAUCGAAAUUAUACUGGAUUCAUCUUAAUUAUUGGCUUUUUCUAUUGGACUUAAUAGAUCACCAACCCCAGAAUGGACCAUUCUCUCAUUCCAUUUUCUAGAGAGCCUUGGAUAACUGAUUGAUUUAUUUCAUGUAUAAGUUUACUUAUCAUGUUACUGAACUCUCUUCGUUCAAAAAGGACAAGGACUAUACAGUUAACAAGAUUCCUUGUUUGCUAACCGUUGUCGGCCACCCAUGAAUCUCCCUGUUUCUCAACAACCAAAAAAGAGCCAUUUAGGUAAUGACCGAGAAGAUGCGGCAUACAUUAACCACCUAUCACCACGCUACUGCAAUACUUCAUGACACUUUCUUUAGCAUCAGGAAAUUUGUCUCAACAUGUGGAGUAAUGCUGUUGGUUGCUUUGAAUUCCAUUUUUACGGUUUUGUCAUCAUGAACUUUUCAGUUUGCUUCUUAGAAAAGAGCACACAGUUUCUUUGUGGAAUCGUGUGGUCCUGGCACGAAUAUUCUUGAGCCAGCGCUGGCUUUUGUCCAUGACCAACGUUCUGCUCCAUCCUUAUCCUCCGGACGUAAGCUCAUUCAGCUUCUGCUUCAUCGCUUCGUACACAAAAAUACAACUUGUCUUACUUCACUGACGAGUUGGAACACUUCAGUGGUCGCUUCCGUGCCGCUGUUACACACCUGCAGUCACUCACCAGGCCCAUGCCCAGGUAAUGCAGAGGAAACGUAGAGAAGAUGGACACUAAAACAUCUCCGUUAUCUCCAAAAUGUCUGCGCGGAUCAUCAUUUGUUGUUGGUAAUAUUUGUGUUUGUGUUAGUUAACCCGUUGUCUGCCACGCUCUUGU
Long non-coding RNA from Daphnia pulicaria, 1005 nucleotides. RefSeq lists it as uncharacterized. Lineage: Eukaryota; Metazoa; Arthropoda; Branchiopoda; Diplostraca; Daphniidae. The record is from RefSeq and is a predicted model, not a curated record. The transcript is spliced from 5 exons.